This 37-nucleotide ribosomal RNA is filed under the name Tricholoma scalpturatum. RNAcentral describes it as "partial 18S ribosomal RNA". The record is from RNAcentral. Lineage: Eukaryota; Fungi; Basidiomycota; Agaricomycetes; Agaricales; Tricholomataceae.
UAACAGGUUUCCGUAGGUGAACCUGCGGAAGGAUCAU